This 443-nucleotide ribosomal RNA is filed under the name uncultured bacterium. Its description in RNAcentral is "partial 16S ribosomal RNA". It matches the Rfam family "Bacterial small subunit ribosomal RNA", at positions 338 to 795 of the family's 1533-position model. The record is from RNAcentral.
CCUACGGGUGGCAGCAGUGAGGAAUAUUGGUCAAUGGGCGCAAGCCUGACCCAGCAACGCCGCGUGCAGGAAGACGGCCCUCGGGUUUUAAACUUCUUUUUUCAGGGACGAAACAAGUGACAGUACCUGACGAAUGAGCCACGGGUAACUACAUGCCAGCAGGCGCGGUGAUACGUAGGGGGCGAGCGUUAUCCGGAUUUACUGGGUGUAAGGGGCGAGUAGGCGGGGAAGCAAGUCAGAUGUGAAAUUCCAGGGCUCAACCCUGGAACUGCAUUGGAAACUGUUGUUCUUGAGUGAUGGAGAGGCAGGCGGAAUGCGGGGUGUAGCGGUGAAAUGCGUAGAGAUACGGAGGAACACCAGUGGCGAAGGCGGCUUGCUGGACAUUAACUGACGCUGAGGCGCGAAAGCGUGGGGAGCAAACAGGAUUAGAUACCCUUGUAGUC